UACGAAGGGGGCUAGCGUUGCUCGGAAUCACUGGGCGUAAAGGGUGCGUAGGCGGGUCUUUAAGUCAGGGGUGAAAUCCUGGAGCUCAACUCCGGAACUGCCUUUGAUACUGGCGACCUUGAGGCUGGAAGAGGUUAGUGGAAUUCCCAGUGUAGAGGUGAAAUUCGUAGAUAUUGGGAAGAACACCAGUGGCGAAGGCGGCUAACUGGUCCAGAUCUGACGCUGAGGUGCGAAAGCGUGGGGAGCAAACAGG
This 253-nucleotide ribosomal RNA is filed under the name uncultured bacterium. RNAcentral describes it as "partial 16S ribosomal RNA". It matches the Rfam family "Bacterial small subunit ribosomal RNA", at positions 524 to 776 of the family's 1533-position model. The record is from RNAcentral.